CCUACGGGUGGCAGCAGUGAGGAAUAUUGGUCAAUGGACGGAAGUCUGAACCAGCCAUGCCGCGUGCAGGAUGACGGCCCUAUGAGUUGUAAACUGCUUUUGUACAAGGGUAAACCUGAAUACGUGUAUUCAGCUGAAAGUACUGUACGAAUAAGGACCGGCUAACUCCGUGCCAGCAGCCGCGGGAAUACGGAGGAUCCACGCGUUAUCCGGAUUUAUUGGGUUUAAAGGGGGCGUAGGCGGAUUGAUAAGUUAGAGGUGAAAUGUCCGAGCGUAACUCGGGAACUGCCUCGAAUACUGGUGAGCUUGAGAGUAGAUGCGGUAGGCGGAAUGUAUGGUGUAGCGGUGAAAUGCUUAGAGAUCAGACAGAACACCGAUUGCGAAGGCAGCUUACCAAUCUAUAUCUGACGUUGAGGAACGAAAGCGUGGGGAGCAAACAGGAUUAGAUACCCUUGUAGUC
Molecule: ribosomal RNA, 460 nt
Filed under: uncultured bacterium
Lineage: Bacteria
Description: partial 16S ribosomal RNA
Rfam family: Bacterial small subunit ribosomal RNA
Source: RNAcentral